RNAcentral lists this ribosomal RNA (450 nucleotides) under uncultured organism. RNAcentral's name for it is "partial 16S ribosomal RNA". It matches the Rfam family "Bacterial small subunit ribosomal RNA", at positions 331 to 797 of the family's 1533-position model. The record is from RNAcentral.
GUACACUCCUGCGGGAGGCAACAGUGGGGAAUAUUGGACAAUGGGCGCAAGCCUGAUCCAGCCAUGCCGCGUGAGUGAUGAAGGCCCUAGGGUUGUAAAGCUCUUUCACCGGUGAAGAUAAUGACGGUAACCGGAGAAGAAGCCCCGGCUAACUUCGUGCCAGCAGCCGCGGUAAUACGAAGGGGGCUAGCGUUGUUCGGAUUUACUGGGCGUAAAGCGCACGUAGGCGGACUAUUAAGUCAGGGGUGAAAUCCCGGGGCUCAACCCCGGAACUGCCUUUGAUACUGGUAGUCUUGAGUUCGAGAGAGGUGAGUGGAAUUCCGAGUGUAGAGGUGAAAUUCGUAGAUAUUCGGAGGAACACCAGUGGCGAAGGCGGCUCACUGGCUCGAUACUGACGCUGAGGUGCGAAAGCGUGGGGAGCAAACAGGAUUAGAAACCCGUGUAGUCCCA